AGAGUGACCCGGAGACAUUGCCAUUUGUCCUGCCCCGUGCGCCUCUCGCCCUCGCCUACCAAGCCCAAGAAGAGAAGGACGUAUGGAGAAUCAUCUCUUCCUGAAGGUGAGAUUUCAUCCUCCCUCUACAUCCAAGAAGUUGCAAUUGCCUGGCAGACAAAAAAAAAUGGAUGGUUGGAACUCACACAGUGGUGUCACAGAAGAAAGGCUUGGGGGUCUGCUUCCAUAAAGGUCACAGUCAGAAAAAAUAACACCAGGGGCUACUGACGAAGUGGGACUGUCCCUGGAACGGCUGAGGGUUCACACUGCUGACCUUGGGGUGAGCAGUUCACUGUGGACCCCACUACUCCACCAGCGCUCCCGCUCACCCCUCCCUACUCAGGGCUAAUCAAGACUGACGCACCUUCAGAGGGGCUCCUCCUCACGCUCUACCUCCCCUCUUGCCUCGCCUACAUUCAGCUGCAGCAGCCAGAGCCUUUGCCACCAGCGAGCGGGUAAAGUGGACUUUCUCACUUAAAACAGCUUUUACCCAUGGAAUAAAUCAUUUGAAAACAGCGGUUUGUUUUCUCCCUGAUUUCCCAGCGGGCCGGAUCAGACAGGCCUGCUAUUUUGUAAUAUG
Long non-coding RNA from Echinops telfairi (small Madagascar hedgehog), 619 nucleotides. RefSeq lists it as uncharacterized. The record is from RefSeq and is a predicted model, not a curated record. NCBI's taxonomy places the organism in Eukaryota, Metazoa, Chordata, Mammalia, Afrosoricida, Tenrecidae. The transcript has 3 exons.